RNAcentral lists this ribosomal RNA (429 nucleotides) under bacterium. RNAcentral's name for it is "partial 16S ribosomal RNA". It matches the Rfam family "Bacterial small subunit ribosomal RNA", at positions 355 to 776 of the family's 1533-position model. The record is from RNAcentral.
UAGGGAAUCUUCGGCAAUGGGGGCAACCCUGACCGAGCAACGCCGCGUGAGUGAAGAAGGUUUUCGGAUCGUAAAGCUCUGUUGUAAGAGAAGAACGUGUGUGAGAGUGGAAAGUUAACACAGUGACGGUAACUUACAAGAAAGGGACGGCUAACUACGUGCCAGCAGCCGAGGUAAUCCGUAGGUCCCGAGUGUUGUCCGGAUUUAUUGGGCGUAAAGCCAGCGCAGGCGGUUUAAAAAGUCUGAAGUUAAAGGCAGUGGCUUAACCAAUGUGCGCUUUGGAAACUGGUAAACUUGAGUACAGAAGGGGAGAGUGGAAUUCCAUGUGUAGCGGUGAAAUGCGUAGAUAUAUGGAGGAACACCGGUGGCGAAAGCGGCUCUCUGGUCUGUAACUGACGCUGAGGCUCGAAAGCGUGGGGAGCAAACAGG